GACUCCAUGGCCCAAUGGAUAAGGCGCUGGUCUACGAAACCAGAGACUCUGGGUUCGAUCCCCAGUGGAGUUG
RNAcentral lists this transfer RNA (73 nucleotides) under Brassica napus (rape). Its description in RNAcentral is "tRNA-Arg (ACG) (tRNA-Arg-ACG-6-1)". It matches the Rfam family "tRNA". Rfam says of the family: Transfer RNA (tRNA) molecules are approximately 80 nucleotides in length. Their secondary structure includes four short double-helical elements and three loops (D, anti-codon, and T loops). The record is from Rfam by way of RNAcentral. Lineage: Eukaryota; Viridiplantae; Streptophyta; Magnoliopsida; Brassicales; Brassicaceae.